RNAcentral lists this unclassified non-coding RNA (1443 nucleotides) under Hevea brasiliensis (rubber tree). Lineage: Eukaryota; Viridiplantae; Streptophyta; Magnoliopsida; Malpighiales; Euphorbiaceae. The record is from RNAcentral.
AAAGCUGUAGACAUCGCUUUUCUCUGUUAAUUGACCAUAAAGAGCAUACUCUGGUGCUAAAUAGCCAUGUGUGCCUGCUACCCUUGUUGUGAGGUGUGACUGACCUUCCAAGCUUUGCUUAGCCAACCCGAAAUCUGCAACUUUUGCUUUCAUUUCGAGGUCCAAUAGUAUGUUUGUUGUCUUGAUGUCUCGGUGAUAAAUGGCAGGUUUGAGACCAUAGUGCAAGUAAGCAAGUCCUUUGGCCACGUCCAGGACAAUGUUCUUUCUAUGAGGCCAAGUCAAUUGCUUCCUGCUAUGGUCGCUGGACAAAUGGUCGCUGAACAAAUGGUCACUGAGGCUACCGUUAGACAUGAAAUCAUAAACAAGAUAUCUCCUUUUACCUUUCAAGAUAUCGCUUGCAACGCAGCACCCUCGAAGAGAAAGAAGAUUCCUGUGCCUAAUUUUGCUUAUGAUCUCAACCUCAUUGGAGAAUUCGUCAUCUCCCUGUGAAUCCAAGUCAUGCAUUUGCUUCACUGCAACCGUAGUUCCAUCUGCUAGAAUCCCUUUGUACACAACUCCAUAAGUGCCUUGUCCAAUGAAAUUCCUCUGCGAAAAUCCCUGAGUAGCUCGUUCAAGUUCUGAUAAGUUGAACCAUUUUGCACCUGAGUUAGGCAACACACUGGUCCUGAAACUGCUCACAUAUAGCUCAUGUGAAGCAUUAAGCUUCCUCUUCUUAUGCCAUCUCCUGUACCAAAGAAUUAGUCCAAUAGCAAGUAAAGCACCAAUAACAGCACCUGUGAAUCCGAAAACCAAUUUCAAAGGCCUAUCUUUGCUGGAACUUUUGGACGUCUUGUUAGUUGCUGAGCCUGUCAAUGGCAAGCCUAGCAUACAACCAGCUGUUCUGGGAUCCAUUGGACCAAACUCAUUAACAAUUGCAGCAGCAUACAAACAAGUGAAAUAAAAGCAUUUUGAAUUGGCAUUUGGAUCUAAACCAGUUAACUGGGAAGUCACUUUUUGGCCAGCAUCAAGACAGGAGCUGCACUGGGUUAGUCCUGAUACAUCUCCUUUACAAGAAGUCUGCAAAGGGGUGAUUGGACCUACCUUCUCUGUCCAAUCUUGGGUAGUGAAAAUUCCAACACAACUAGAAGCGUUAGCAACAAAUUGAUUAGAGUUGUUGAAGCAGAAAGGGACUAAUGAUGGGUCAAUGGACAUAGCAGAAAGCUUGGCUUGAAAAUCAGAGAGGCAAGAAGAGGAAGCAUUAGCAUUAGGCAGUUGAAACAUGGAGGUCUCUCUAAGAUGCUGGGCUAUUCCCAUGCCAAGGAGGCUGAGAAGAGUCACGCAGCAAUGUCCCUCAUCAGGCUUGCGACACCCAGAUGAAUCCCAUGGGGUGGUUUGAACAUAACUGAGAUCUAUGGGACAGGACGAAGAGGCUGAACUGGAAUCAAUGGAGGAAAUGGUAAAGAA